RNAcentral lists this ribosomal RNA (254 nucleotides) under uncultured bacterium. Its description in RNAcentral is "partial 16S ribosomal RNA". It matches the Rfam family "Bacterial small subunit ribosomal RNA", at positions 524 to 776 of the family's 1533-position model. The record is from RNAcentral.
UACGUAGGGGGCAAGCGUUGUCCGGAAUUACUGGGCGUAAAGAGCUCGUAGGCGGUCUGUCGCGUCGAUCGUGAAAACUUGGGGCUUAACCCUGAGCUUGCGGUCGAUACGGGCAUGACUGGAGUUCGGCAGGGGAGACUGGAAUUCCUGGUGUAGCGGUGAAAUGCGCAGAUAUCAGGAGGAACACCGGUGGCGAAGGCGGGUCUCUGGGCCGAUACUGACGCUGAGGAGCGAAAGCGUGGGGAGCGAACAGG